CCCCACCAUUUCUUUCAACAAGGCAAAAGCUUGAUUGCAUUUGCCCAAAUUGAAAAGACCGUGAAUUAAGCAGUUGUAAGUGAUGAUACUAGGUGGAAUACCUUUAUUCCUCAUUUGAGAGAAGAGGUCUAAAGCCUCAAUAACUAGCUUAUCCUUGCAAAGAGCGUCCACAAUUGCACUGUAUGUCACAACAUUUGGCUCACAACCUCUCUCACCCAUUCCCUUUAGCAACUUAAUAGCCACAUUUGUUUUCCCAGAUUUACAUAGAGCAUUUACUAUCACAUUGUAGGUAUAAACAUCAGGUUGAUAACCUCCAGCAACCAUAUCAUUGAAAAAAUCUACUGCUCCAUUGAUUUUACCAUCUAUACAGAGCCCUUUAAUUAAGGUAGUAAAUGUCACAGUAUUGGGCUCCAAUCCAAAUUUGAUAAUUUUCCCCAGAAUUGAGAAGCCAAAAUUCACAAGGUGUAAUCGGCAGAAACAGUCAAUCAAUAUAGAAAGAGAGUAAAUAUCGUGUGAGAUUCCUAGAGACUCAAUUGUUCUGGACAAAGAAAUAACCGUGUGAUAUUGUUUCAUUCCCACAAGAGCAGAUAAAAAUCGACAAAAUUGAACAAUAGAAGGCAGAGGAUUCAUAAGAAUGAUGUGAUUAAAGGUCGCUAAGGCAUCAUCAACGUCCCUAAAAGAAGAAGAAUUGAACUUAGAUCUCAAGAAACGUUGAGAUUUUGCAUCUUUAGGAUUAUGCGUGGAAGCAGAAGAAUGGAAGUAAUUGGUAAACAAUAAGGAUGGAGAUUGAAUGAUACCCAUUUCCGUUUGCAGUUGAAAGCGGAAGAACCUCUCAGUAGUUGUGAAAAUCCUCCGCGCCGACAUUAUCAUCUUCAGAGAAAGAGAGACGGCUCUGUAUGUUUAGGGCGAAAGAGAAAGCGUUCAGCAAUUAUUUGUAAUUUAUAGAUAUCUUUAUGAAAACAGUAACUUAUAUUGCAUUUACUAUUCAGUUAAAUAAUAAUUCAAAUUGUUUCAAAAAAAUAAUAAUUAAAAUAAAAAAU
Molecule: unclassified non-coding RNA, 1040 nt
Filed under: Hevea brasiliensis (rubber tree)
Lineage: Eukaryota; Viridiplantae; Streptophyta; Magnoliopsida; Malpighiales; Euphorbiaceae
Source: RNAcentral